This 857-nucleotide long non-coding RNA is filed under the name Sus scrofa (pig). RNAcentral's name for it is "lncRNA (ENSSSCG00025032948.1)". The record is from RNAcentral. Lineage: Eukaryota; Metazoa; Chordata; Mammalia; Artiodactyla; Suidae.
AUGCUGGGAAUACCAACUAACACUUGUUACAGAGUGUGCAUGGCGGCUGCUGACAGGCCUUCCCAGUGCCAGCAAGUGGAUACAGAAGCAAUCUCCCAAGCUUUCCAUGACAUUCAAGUGACCAGGCACUUGGACACCCAUCACUGGGGCUGUGUUCCUACCUUAGCCAGUGCCCACAAGCAGCAGCGGUUCCUCUGGCGUUUUGACCCUGAAACAAUGAGCAGAGAAGAGAUGCUGUUUCAAAAUGGGAAAAGCCAGUGGGUAUCUAGGGGAAUUCCGGGCAGAGGUAAGAGGAGGCAGGUCCCCAUACUAGAACAUUCAGUAUGAUGCCGGGAAGUGGGAGGGCGUGCAAGAGAGAAUGAGGUCACGUCAGGGCCCAUGAUUCCCACAGCAGCCCUGGCCCUGGUGACUUGGUACCACAGAAGAAUGCUGCCGGUCCCACAGCACGUAGGAAUGGUCCAUAGAACUCGGUUUCUGUGUUGCAACCUGGGUUGUGAUGACGUGUUCAAGCUUUGUCCCCAAGCAUGUGAGGACCCCAUUCCACAGGCUGCUGGGGAUGGGGAGUAAGCAGAGUCAGCAUGGGCUAGGGCCAUAGGGACUGGUACGACUGGGAAUGACUCUUUGGGAGAUCCUGCCCAAGGAAGAGACCCAGCCAUCCUAACUCCCAGGUAAGACUGGCUUUCAUUGGCCUGGCACCAGCAGCCAGCUCAUCCACUUUGAGGACUGAGGGUACAGUAAUGAUAUCUCUGAGUGAUGGUGAUAGCCAGCAUCCAUGGUUAGUAGCCUUUUGAAUCCAGGGUGGAUAUAUUUGGAAUGAAACAAUGUUACCAACUAAUGACUGCUAGGUUGAGGGACAG